RNAcentral lists this ribosomal RNA (195 nucleotides) under uncultured Pseudomonas sp. RNAcentral's name for it is "partial 16S ribosomal RNA". It matches the Rfam family "Bacterial small subunit ribosomal RNA", at positions 337 to 524 of the family's 1533-position model. Lineage: Bacteria; Pseudomonadati; Pseudomonadota; Gammaproteobacteria; Pseudomonadales; Pseudomonadaceae. The record is from RNAcentral.
UCCUACGGGAGGCAGCAGUGGGGAAUAUUGGACAAUGGGCGAAAGCCUGAUCCAGCCAUGCCGCGUGUGUGAAGAAGGUCUUCGGAUUGUAAAGCACUUUAAGUUGGGAGGAAGGGCAGUAAGUUAAUACCUUGCUGUUUUGACGUUACCAACAGAAUAAGCACCGGCUAACUUCGUGCCAGCAGCCGCGGUAAU